UGAAUGGGCGCAGCUGAUCAGCCAUGCCGCGUGUCUGAAGAAGGCCUUCGGGUUGUAAAGGACUUUUGUCUAGGAGCAAGACUUAGAGAUGAAUAGUUUCUAGGGGUGAGAGUACUGGAAGAAUAAGCACCGGCUAACUACGUGCCAGCAGCCGCGGUAAUACGUAGGGUGCGAGCGUUAAUCGGAAUGACUGGGCGUAAAGAGUGCGUAGGCGGCUACGCGAGCUUGAUGUGAAAUCCCCGGGCUUAACCUGGGAAUGGCAUGGAGGACAGCGUAGCUAGAGUCUGUCAGAGGUGGGUAGAAUUCCCUGUGUAGCAGUGAAAUGCGUAGAGAUGGGGAGGAAUACCGAUGGCGAAGGCAGCCUGCUGGGAUAAGACUGACGCUGAGGCACGAAGGCGUGGGGAGCAAACAGGAUUAGAUACCCUGGUAGUCCACGCGGUAAACGAUGUCAACUAGCUGUUGGGGGUUUGAAUCCUUGGUAGCGAAGCAAACGCGAGAAGUUGACCGCCUGGGGAGUACGGNCGCAAGGCUAAAACUCAAAGGAAUUGACGGGGACCCGCACAAGCGGUGGAUGAUGUGGAUUAAUUCGAGGCAACGCGAAGAAACUUACCUGCUUUUGACAUGCUUAGGACGGUUGAGAGAUUG
Molecule: ribosomal RNA, 645 nt
Filed under: uncultured bacterium
Lineage: Bacteria
Description: bacterial SSU rRNA
Rfam family: Bacterial small subunit ribosomal RNA
Source: RNAcentral